This 305-nucleotide long non-coding RNA is filed under the name Marmota monax (woodchuck). Lineage: Eukaryota; Metazoa; Chordata; Mammalia; Rodentia; Sciuridae. The record is from RNAcentral.
AGGAAAGGCAGCAGAAUACAACAGACACUAGUAUAGCAAUAUGUAAAACAGUGGAUGUGUAACCGAUGUGAUGCUGCAAUCUGUAUAUGGGGUAAAAAUGGGAGUUCAUAACCCACUUGAAUCAAAGUGUGAAAUAUGAUUUGUCAAGAACUAUGUAAUGUUUUGAACAACCAACAAUAAAAAUUAAAGAAAAAAAAAAAGAAACUAAGAUCAAGAUGGCUGUCUAACACUGUAGCCAAGAGCCACCAGGGCUAUUAAGUGCUUCAAAUGAGAAUAAUUUGAAUGAAAUGUGCUGUAAGUAUAAA